UUUUCUAAACAAACUUCACCUCCUUCCAAAACCUAAUUUCCCAAACAAAUUUCUCGUGUGUCAAAAUGGGUUCUCGUCAUCCUUUGUCAAACCUACCUAUCAUGAAAAUAGUUCCACUUUACACCUCCGUCAGGCAUCUGCGGCGACGAAGGUGAAGAAACAGACGUCGUUGUCUUGUCGGCGUCGUUUGCUGCCCGCUUUGAGAUCUUUGGCUUCACACAUCGUCUGUAGAUCGCGGUGACGAAGGCAACAAAGGGCCCAUCGUUUUCUUUUAUCCGAUUGGUGUUGAGCAAGCUCUGAACACUCAGCAUCGAUGAACAAAAGAGGUCCUACUUUACUUUCUGACAUCUUUAGCCGGCCUUUAUCUGAAAGAGUCUUUGUGGACUUUAACAAGCGUGGAUGAGCUAUUGGACGUGAAGGGCGUGUACUUGCUAGUUUUUUGGGAAUUAUUGCAAGGGAACCAAUUAUGUCUCCUCUAACUGUUGAACAUUGGAGGCUUUUCCAAGACAUGAAAAAAAGAAACUACUAAAUUUUGUCAAGGUAAAAUCAAAAUUUUGCUCCUACAAGAA
RNA transcript from Tripterygium wilfordii, 569 nucleotides. RefSeq lists it as uncharacterized. The record is from RefSeq and is a predicted model, not a curated record. The transcript has 2 exons. NCBI's taxonomy places the organism in Eukaryota, Viridiplantae, Streptophyta, Magnoliopsida, Celastrales, Celastraceae.